Molecule: unclassified non-coding RNA, 645 nt
Filed under: Hevea brasiliensis (rubber tree)
Lineage: Eukaryota; Viridiplantae; Streptophyta; Magnoliopsida; Malpighiales; Euphorbiaceae
Source: RNAcentral
AUGGGAGUCUCAUUCUUGCUUGCAUCAUUGGUGCUGAGAAUAUUUUGCAGAAUCUAUGAUGUUCAUGGGUGGUGAAAACUUUAAACUACUUUUAGAACUUGGAAGAUUGAAGAUGGUGUGAUCAGCCAACUCUCUCCUAAUAACCAGUGGCAAUGCGAUUCAUCUGCUUCCUCCUGAGUUGUGUUUCCAGGAUGCAGGCUAGCGUUGCUAAUGAGGACUAGCCUGUGCUGCAAUUUACUGAAUUUAGACAGAGACAAGCAUGACGGAGGUUUAUCAGAUUGUUCACCUAAGCAUUAUUUAGCUUCUCUUACAUUCCAUGUUGAAACAAACCGGUGAAGUGCUAUCUGAGCGUUGAUAGAGUUCACAAGAUACGUGCAGAACAAGCUUGCUCACAAUGUAUAUAAUACCUUCCUUUUUUUAAAUACCCUUGAUGUCAAGUUGUGGCUUGAAGCAAGUCUUUUCUUGUCAUGGCAAGCUGAAGAAAGUAAGUUUGCUGUAGUAUAUUCGAGGAGUAUUUUUACAAUCUUGUGUUGGUUGAGACUUGGGUAUCAGUGCGAGUAUCUAGCCAUGUUUACGCGAUGAGGACUAGCCUCUACUCAAAUGUUUCUUCUCUCAUCUCUAUUUAAUGGAGUUAGAAACAGUGCA